UACAGAGGUGGCAAGCGUUGUUCGGAAUUACUGGGCGUAAAGGGCGCGUAGGCGGCCUGCCACGUCGGGUGUGAAAGCUCAGGGCUUAACCCUGAGAGGCCAUUCGAUACGGGCAGGCUAGAGGUAGGUAGGGGAAAGUGGAAUUCCUGGUGUAGCGGUGAAAUGCGCAGAUAUCAGGAGGAACACCGGUGGCGAAGGCGGCUUUCUGGGCCUUACCUGACGCUGAGGAGCGAAAGCUGGGGGAGCGAACAGG
This 253-nucleotide ribosomal RNA is filed under the name uncultured bacterium. Its description in RNAcentral is "partial 16S ribosomal RNA". It matches the Rfam family "Bacterial small subunit ribosomal RNA", at positions 524 to 776 of the family's 1533-position model. The record is from RNAcentral.